CCUACGUGAGGCAGCAGUGAGGAAUAUUGGUCAAUGGGCGCUAGCCUGAACCAGCCAAGUAGCGUGAAGGAUGACUGCCCUACGGGUUGUAAACUUCUUUUAUAAAGGAAUAAAGUGAGGCACGUGUGCCUUUUUGUAUGUACUUUAUGAAUAAGGAUCGGCUAACUCCGUGCCAGCAGCCGCGGUAAUACGGAGGAUCCGAUCGUUAUCCGGAUUUAUUGGGUUUAAAGGGAGCGUAGAUGGGUUGUUAAGUCAGUUGUGAAAGUUUGCGGCUCAACCGUAAAAUUGCAAUUGAUACUGGCAGUCUUGAGGACAGUUGAGGUAGGCGGAAUUCGUGGUGUAGCGGUGAAAUGCUUAGAUAUCACGAAGAACUCCGAUUGCGAAGGCAGCUUACUAAACUGCAACUGACAUUGAUGCUCGAAAGUGUGGGUAUCAAACAGGAUUAGAUACCCUUGUAGUC
Molecule: ribosomal RNA, 460 nt
Filed under: uncultured bacterium
Lineage: Bacteria
Description: partial 16S ribosomal RNA
Rfam family: Bacterial small subunit ribosomal RNA
Source: RNAcentral